Molecule: non-coding RNA, 74 nt
Organism: Phrynosoma platyrhinos (Desert horned lizard)
Lineage: Eukaryota; Metazoa; Chordata; Lepidosauria; Squamata; Phrynosomatidae
Source: the annotation of a GenBank genome assembly
GAGCCAGUAUCGCCUAGUGGUUGGAGCCCUGGACUAUGACUCUGGAGACCGGGGUUAAAUUCCCCGCUCGAAUA